Long non-coding RNA from Salvia splendens (bonfire salvia), 629 nucleotides. RefSeq lists it as uncharacterized. The transcript has 2 exons. The record is from RefSeq and is a predicted model, not a curated record. Lineage: Eukaryota; Viridiplantae; Streptophyta; Magnoliopsida; Lamiales; Lamiaceae.
GUAAAUUUCAAAUUGCGUCUUCGUAGAUAUACAGAUGACCGAAGCGUAGAGAGAAGAGAUGAAGAUGGAAGAUGAAGAUGGAAGAAAUGGGCGACUACAGUUCCUUUUGCGAGAGAUGUCAACGUCUUCAAUGUCUUCGAGCAGAAUGACUUGGCCGAGGUUUGAGGCAGUGGUCUGUGAUCACGGUCUUGAAGCUGAUGUGGUGACAUCAAAUACGGAUGCCAAUCCCGGACGAUAAUUCUAUCGUUGCCAAGUCUGGAAGGAGGACGAUUACAAAUUCUUUCGUUGGAUUGAUCCAUCGUUGUCACUGAAUCAAGAGUACUUUUAAAAAAAUUGAAGAUGGAUAGGGACAACGUGUAAAGAGCAUUGAGAGACAGAGUUGCUAAGCAGGAUGCACUUGACGAGAACGUCCGUUCCAAAAUCGAUGAAGUUGAAGCACUCCAAGGUGUUGUCGCAGAUUUGCAUCGUCAAAAUCGGAACUUAAAGAUUGUCAUUUGCAUUUUAUGUAUCGUCAUUUGGAUACUGGCGUAGCUUGUCUAAUAGAACCAACGAUUGUAGUAGACUAUGCAAGUUGAAAUCCAAUGUAGUGAAUUUUCCCCUAUGAAUGCAUUGAGUUAUGAGUUUAAAUA